RNAcentral lists this ribosomal RNA (305 nucleotides) under uncultured bacterium. Its description in RNAcentral is "bacterial SSU rRNA". It matches the Rfam family "Bacterial small subunit ribosomal RNA", at positions 334 to 655 of the family's 1533-position model. The record is from RNAcentral.
CUAUCCUACGGGGCGCAGCAGUGAGGGAUAUUGGGCAAUGGGGGAAACCCUGACCCAGCGACGCCGCGUGAGGGAAGACGGUCUUCGGAUUGUAAACCUCUGUCUUUGGGGACGAAAAAGGACGGUACCCAAGGAGGAAGCUCCGGCUAACUACGUGCCAGCAGCCGCGGUAAUACGUAGGGAGCGAGCGUUGUCCGGAAUUACUGGGUGUAAAGGGCGUGUAGGCGGGGAGGCAAGUCAGAUGUGAAAACCACGGGCUCAACCUGUGGCCUGCAUUUGAAACUGUUUUUCUUGAGUGCUGGAGA